Molecule: ribosomal RNA, 277 nt
Filed under: uncultured bacterium
Lineage: Bacteria
Description: partial 16S ribosomal RNA
Rfam family: Bacterial small subunit ribosomal RNA
Source: RNAcentral
AAUCAACGCUGGCGGCGUGCCUAACACAUGCAAGUCGAACGAGAAAGUGGAGCAAUCCAUGAGUAAAGUGGCGCACGGGUGAGUAACACGUGACUAACCUACCUUUGAGUGGGGGAUAACCUAGGGAAACCUGGGCUAAUACCGCAUAAUACCUAUGGGUCAAAGGAGCAAUUCGCUUAAAGAGGGGGUCGCGGCAGAUUAGUUAGUUGGCAGGGUAAUGGCCUACCAAGACGAUGAUCUGUAUCCGGCCUGAGAGGGCGCACGGACACACUGGAAC